GAUGAACGCUAGCGGCAGGCCUAAUACAUGCAAGUCGGACGGGAUUUGGGAGCUUGCUCCUAAUGAGAGUGGCGCACGGGUGCGUAACACGUAUGUAACCUACCUUAAUCAGGGGGAUAGCCUCUCGGAAGAGAGAUUAACACCGCAUAACAUAUUUUUAUGGCAUCGUAGAAAUAUCAAAUAGUUAUAGGAUUAAGAUGGGCAUGCGGAACAUUAGCUAGUUGGUAAGGUAACGGCUUACCAAGGCUACGAUGUUUAGGGGAUCUGAGAGGAUGACCCCCCACACUGGUACUGAGACACGGACCAGACUCCUACGGGAGGCAGCAGUAAGGAAUAUUGGUCAAUGGGCGCAAGCCUGAACCAGCCAUGCCGCGUGCAGGAAGACGGCCCUAUGGGUUGUAAACUGCUUCUGUACCGGAAUAAACCCUUUUACGUGUAGAAGGCUGAAUGUACGGUAAGAAUAAGGAUCGGCUAACUCCGUGCCAGCCGCCGCAGUAA
This 498-nucleotide ribosomal RNA is filed under the name uncultured bacterium. RNAcentral's name for it is "partial 16S ribosomal RNA". It matches the Rfam family "Bacterial small subunit ribosomal RNA", at positions 28 to 523 of the family's 1533-position model. The record is from RNAcentral.